Molecule: ribosomal RNA, 468 nt
Filed under: uncultured bacterium
Lineage: Bacteria
Description: partial 16S ribosomal RNA
Rfam family: Bacterial small subunit ribosomal RNA
Source: RNAcentral
GAUGAACGCUGGCGGCGUGCUUAAUACAUGCAAGUCGAACGGAAAGGCCCUGCUCUUGUGGGGUGCUCGAGUGGCGAACGGGUGAGUAACACGCGUGUAUCCUGCACCUGUCUUUGUGAUAUCUUCAGGAAACUCGGGCUAAUAUCGGAUAGGAGCUCCUGCUGCAUGGUGGUGGUUGGAAAGUUACGGCGGUAGGGGAUGGACUCGAGGCUUAUCAGCUUGUUGGUGUAGUAGUGGCUUACCAGGGCUAUGACGGGUAGCCGGCCUGAGAGGGUGACCAGCCACAUUGGGACUGAGAUACGGCCCAGACUGCUACGGGAGGCAGCGGUGGGGAGUCUUGCGCAGUGGGGGGAAGCCAGAUGCAGCGACGCCGCGUGCGGGAUGACGGGCUUCGAGUUGUGAACCACUUUCGCCUGUGACGAGGCGUGAGUGACGGUAAUGGGUAAAGAAGCACCGGCUAACUACGUG